This 253-nucleotide ribosomal RNA is filed under the name uncultured bacterium. RNAcentral describes it as "partial 16S ribosomal RNA". It matches the Rfam family "Bacterial small subunit ribosomal RNA", at positions 524 to 776 of the family's 1533-position model. The record is from RNAcentral.
UACAGAGGGUGCAAGCGUUAUUCGGAAUGAUUGGGCGUAAAGCGUCCGCAGGUGGUUUUGUAAGUCUGCUGUUAAAGCGUUAGGCUCAACCUAAUAAGGGCAGUGGAAACUAUGAGACUAGAGUAUGUUAGGGGUAGAGGGAAUUCCCAGUGUAGCGGUGAAAUGCGUAGAGAUUGGGAAGAACACCGGUGGCGAAAGCGCUCUGCUAGGACAAUACUGACACUGAGGGACGAAAGCUAGGGGAGCGAAUGGG